Long non-coding RNA from Papaver somniferum (opium poppy), 2278 nucleotides. RefSeq lists it as uncharacterized. NCBI's taxonomy places the organism in Eukaryota, Viridiplantae, Streptophyta, Magnoliopsida, Ranunculales, Papaveraceae. The record is from RefSeq and is a predicted model, not a curated record. The transcript is spliced from 14 exons.
UGGAUCCUACGACAUGUUUAGAGAAAAAAAGAAAAAUCAUUCCCCACUUCUCCUCUCUUUGGUUGUUUCCCCAACACCACUUAAUCUUAAUAGCCUUCAUCUCAUCUUCUUCUUCUGUCCUCUAGGGUUAGCUCCAUUCACAGUUCACAGCUAGCAUAACUACCAUCUCCCAUCACCACGAGCAACACCAUCAGGGUUCGGAAUUGAUUCCUCCGAAAAUAUCUUAAAUCGCAGGAAAAAACAUAAAGGGUAUUUUUCAAUUUUCAGAAAUGGAGAUAAAGCUCCUUCUGCGGAUAAUGAGGUUAUGAAGAGUUUAAAAUAUUUAGAUCCUGGGAAAUCAGGGAAAUAUAAAGGGAUACAUGUUCCUGGAAGAUAACUUGAAGGCGAUGAUCAAGCCUCAUUAUGUGGAUCACAUCCCAAAAGAAGUGCAAGGAAUGUUGUGCAAGUUCUGGAAUAGAAUGAUGAGAGAGAGGUGAAAGAGGAACUCUGUCGUGAGCUUAAUCAGGUUAUAGAUCGAAACGUCGGUCAUUUGUCAGGUGGAGAGAUGCAAAGAUUUGCUAUUUCUGUGGUUGCCAUACAUAAUGCAGAGAUUUUUAUGUUUGACGAGCCUUCCAGUUAUCUUGAUGUGAGACCAAGGCUUAAAGCUUCCCAAGUUAUCCGAUCAUUGCUCAGGACAAAUAGGCUGGUCUCUUGAAGUCAGAUGAAGUGGAGAGUUCAUAUGCAGAAAUACCUGAAUUCAAUGUUUCUUACAAGCCCCAGAAGAUUAGUCCAAAGUUUCAAGCUUCUGUCAAGGGCUUGCUGCAUCAAAAGAUCCGGGAUUCAUAUAUGCAUCCUCAGUUUGUGUCAGAUGUUAUAAAACCACUCCGAAUUGAACAGUUGAUUGACCAUGAAGUGGUGAAUUUGUCAGAUGGAGAGCUGCAAUGAGUUGCAUUAUGUCUUUUCCUUGGAAAGGUUUGCAUUAUUACGUUUUGUUUGCUUUGAUCUUCAGUCACCUUUCCUUAUGGUAUUAAUAAAUUUUGCAUAUUACCACAAUAAUGAUACGAUGACCAAAAAUUGAUUUCAUUGUGACUGGAGAUUGGGCAAAGGAUUACUCUAGAUAUAUGUCUCAAGAUGGAGUGGAGAUGACACAUCUGCUUUACCACCAUGGAUAUGGAUAUGCACCCUAUGGCGCUUAUAGUCCAGCACGUUCUCCUGUUCCUACCAUGGGACAUGAUGGACUGUACGGGCCUCAGCACUACCAGUAUCCUAUUCCUUACUAUCAAUCACCAACACCACCUCCCAGAGACUGUAUUCAUCUAACCAAACUUCUGCUGCGCCAACAGAUGUUCCCACUACUGUUGCUGCAUACCAGGCCCCUGCGUCAGUAGAAGCCGUUAAUGGAAAUGUUAAUGGUGUCUCGAAAAUCGAAAGCAAGUGCUGGUGGAAACAACAAUAAUGGGGCUGCACCUGUAAAAUCUGCCAAUUCCAAACUCUUAUGGGAGAGGCAAGCCUUCUCAAGAAUUAGAGAAAAUGGAUUUUGAAAAGAUUCCAAAAUUCAAAGCUGGGUCAUUGAAUAAAAAGAUUUUUGAGAACAAAGGAGGCUUGGGAUGUAACUCAACAUCAGGUGACAAAGCCUUGGAAGUUCCACUUUGCAAUUGAUGAAAGGAUUCAUUCUGCAAGAACAGUUUUUGAGUUGUUUGACAAGCCACUUCCAACUUCCAAGACUCACAACACAAAACCCAUUUCAUCUCCACAAAUAGCUGUAAAGUCUUCCACAUUGUCAAAGGAUAAGGCUGAGGUUAAGGGAGCUUCAAAUCCCAACAUGAGGGAGGGGAUAAUUGCUAGUGGAGAUCGUAUUUCAGAUCCUUCUAUGGAUUUCGACUUCUAGUUAUGGUUGAUAAACUAGGAAGGAUAAGACUCACAAAAUGGAUGUAAAUGCAGUACACUGGAGUUCUCAGGUUUUCAGAAAGUUGUUGCCUAUGAGUGCAAAAUUGUUCAAGGUGUGCUCAGCCAUCAGCUCAAGCAGUUUGGAAACAAGGUUGUACUCAGUGUUCCUGAAACCACAGUUGAUGAUGCAGAAUUCCACGAGAAUGAUGUUUAUGCAAUUGCUAUGGAGUAAAUCAUUUUGCUGGUUAACUGAACUUGUCUUCCAACUUAUUGUUAGUUAGGACUUAAACUUAUAUUGGUAUGAACUCAGAAUUUAAACCCUUUUUUGUGUAAUUUGAACCGAAUGAAUCAAUGAAUGUUAAAUGGAAAAAUUAUUUGAGUUUGCCGGUGCAAGUUUGAUUUGAUUCUCAUU